This 740-nucleotide long non-coding RNA is filed under the name Homo sapiens (human). RNAcentral's name for it is "HSALNT0351621". Lineage: Eukaryota; Metazoa; Chordata; Mammalia; Primates; Hominidae. The record is from RNAcentral.
CCACUAGGCAAUGAAGAACGCUUGAUGUAUUUUAAGCAAAGAUCAAUACAAAAACAUUCCAGUUUGACUGAAAGGGGCGGCAGGUGAGAGCAUAGGUUGGAGCUGUUUCCGUUUAGGUAAAAUGGAUAGAAUAAUAGUACUUACCUCAAAGGAUUGUUGAAGAGAAUCAACAAGAUGAUAUCCCUGAAGCACUGGGAAUAGUGUCUGGCACACAGCACUCUCCCAGGAGCACACCGCGGCGCUAGAGAAGACCAGGAAAAAGGACCUGAGCCAGCUUGCCGUCUUAACAAAAAUUUCAAACUUUGCAAAGCGGUAUACCUUCUUAUUCUCCAGUUCAGUAUUGCCAGUGAAGUCAUACUGAACGCAGACAAGGAAAAGAAAGAAAAAGAAACUCAAUGAGAUAUGUUGUCAUCUUCCCUGUUUUAUGGAUGAAGUUCUAAGUAGAGGUUCGGAGAAGAUGUUCAGCCUCAGAACGUAGCCACCUUGCUGUGAGAAAGCCCAACCAUCUUGUACAGCGAGACCACAUGGAGAGGCGCAUGUGGAAAGGAACGGAGGCUACAAGCCGAUAGCCAGCAUCGACUGCCAGGCACGGAGAGUGAGUCUUCAGAUGAAUCCAGCCUCAGCCUAGAGUCUUUUGUCUCAGGCCCCAGACACUGUGGAGCAGGGACAAGCCAUCCCCACUGUGUCCCACCCGCAUUCCUGAUCCACAGAAUCUAUGAGCACAAUAAAUAGUUGCUUUA